This is a long non-coding RNA of Gigantopelta aegis, 726 nucleotides long. RefSeq lists it as uncharacterized. The transcript has 6 exons. The record is from RefSeq and is a predicted model, not a curated record. NCBI's taxonomy places the organism in Eukaryota, Metazoa, Mollusca, Gastropoda, Neomphalida, Peltospiridae.
GGGGGUGUCUGUUGCAAUGGAUUUAGUGGGAAAAGAAGUAUAAAAACCACAGUGCCGUGGAAUAUCAAACACUUGCCACACAACGUUCGAAGUAGGUCAACGCAUGACCCUGUACAAAACCUGCCAAGUUAUAGACACGGACCACUGUGGUCGUCACUUUUUAACGAAGACAAACCACUUCCGGGUCACAGUGUCUCGCAGAUUGACAAAAAGAUAUGCUGCAAUGACCCGUCACCAUACUGGAUUGGCGGUCGACUACAUCCGAAAGCUCAAUACAGAGGACCAGACAGGAGGGCGUAUCCUAACUGCUUUGGUGAGAGUUUACGACGUGCUCAAGCAGUUGGGGACACGGCUACCCUAGCGAGGUGUCUCAAGCAAGCCGCACAAAAGCUUGGAUAAUGCGCACGAAACGGAACAAAUUUUAUUAUCUGUAAGUGACUACAUCAACGACGUCAGCGUGCUCGGCCCAGAAGCAACAGAAGUACUUUGUUAGCGACUACAUUAAACUGUUACUAGGUCACUCUUCUAUGCACAUUACAAACAUUAUGCGAGUGGCGCAGUACCUUUAACGAACAUAAUUAUUACAAUGGGAGAAUGUUCAAAUAUGGCGUUGUUUACAACAGUUCACGGUCAUGGAACAGUUCAGUCUUCUCUCUCUAACUGCUUGUGUCGCUUUUUGGUUGUGUCACCAGUAUGAGGUGUGCUGGUCUUAAAGUAGGCUGGAAA